GGAGGAAUAUUGGUCAAUGGAGGUAACUCUGAACCAGCCAAGUAGCGUGCAGGAUGACGGCCCUAUGGGUUGUAAACUGCUUUUAUGCGGGGAUAAACUGACUCACGUGUGGGUCAUUGCAGGUACCGCAUGAAUAAGGACCGGCUAAUUCCGUGCCAGCAGCCGCGGUAAUACGGAAGGUCCGGGCGUUAUCCGGAUUUAUUGGGUUUAAAGGGAGCGUAGGCCGGAGAUUAAGCGUGUUGUGAAAUGUAGUGGCUCAACCUCUGCACUGCAGCGCGAACUGGUCUUCUUGAGUACGCACAACGUGGGCGGAAUUCGUGGUGUAGCGGUGAAAUGCUUAGAUAUCACGAAGAACUCCGAUUGCGAAGGCAGCUCACGGGAGCGCAACUGACGCUGAAGCUCGAAAGUGCGGGUAUCGAACAGGAUUAGAUACCCUGGUAGU
RNAcentral lists this ribosomal RNA (442 nucleotides) under uncultured Prevotella sp. RNAcentral's name for it is "bacterial SSU rRNA". It matches the Rfam family "Bacterial small subunit ribosomal RNA", at positions 355 to 794 of the family's 1533-position model. The record is from RNAcentral. Lineage: Bacteria; Pseudomonadati; Bacteroidota; Bacteroidia; Bacteroidales; Prevotellaceae.